UACAGAGGGUGCAAGCGUUAAUCGGAAUUACUGGGCGUAAAGCGUGCGUAGACGGUAGCGUAAGUCGGGUGUGAAAGCCUCCCGGGCUCAACCUGGGAACUGCAUUUGUGACUGCAUAGCUAGAGUACGGUAGAGGGGGAUGGAAUUCCACGUGUAGCAGUGAAAUGCGUAGAUAUGUGGAGGAACACCGAUGGCGAAGGCAAUCCCCUGGACCUGUACUGACGCUCAUGCACGAAAGGCGUGGGGAGCAACAGG
This 255-nucleotide ribosomal RNA is filed under the name uncultured bacterium. RNAcentral describes it as "partial 16S ribosomal RNA". It matches the Rfam family "Bacterial small subunit ribosomal RNA", at positions 524 to 775 of the family's 1533-position model. The record is from RNAcentral.